GAGGAACCGGAAACGAGAACAAACUUUUCCCGGUCAUUUUAUGCAGCUAAAGUUGUUUAGUAUUUUCUCUUAUUUAGACACCAACACAUUAAAGAACACGUCUACAACCUGUAAAAACCAUCCCAGCGAGGAAAGUCGUGAGAUACUUUCAUGUUUUAGAUUUCAACAUGUCCUUGAGUGCAGUCCACUCCACACUGUCUAGUCUGAAAACAUGUCAGACAGAUAUUGGAACGGGGAUGGACAUUGUGACCGACGUCGCUCUGGACGUGGCAGAAACAGCAGGAACUGAGAAUGAUGCAGUCCUGAAGAAGCUGGAGGUGAUGAUGCUGGAGUGUGCCAAACUGGACCAGGAGAUCAACUGCUUCGUUGAGGUGGUGAACUGUGUCACUGCAGAGGUGAGGAACCAAGAGCCCGAGGCCAUGUUCAGACUGAAGUCUCUGGUGAAGGAGAAGUUCACUGAGAGACACGACAGUCUGUCUGAGGGAGAGCUACAGAACCACGUCAAGCUGGUCAGCUUUAAGGAGAACGUCAGAAACGCACUCAAAACAGUGAACCCUGAGGCAGCAGAGAAUAUGGAGGAGGAGCUGGAUGAGGAUGUUGCUGUGACGCAGAGUGAGGUUAACUUCACCUGUCCCCUGACUCAGGACAAUAAAGCCUCUGGUUGUGUCCAUGUUGUCGUGUGGCCCUGCAGGUGGAGAUGGUGGACCCAAUGAAGAACAAGAAGUGUAACCACCACUACGACCGGGACGCCAUUAUGGGGAUGAUCAAGGCCCGGCAAAACCAGAAGAAGAAGUUACGCUGUCCGGUGGUUGGCUGUGGCAACACGGACGUGAAGCAGGGAGACCUGAUCCUAGAUCAGAUUAUGAAGAGACAGAUCCUGAAGAGGUAGACUACCAAGGCAUGAUUCUGGUCCUGAAGAGGUAGACUACCAAGGCAUGAUUCUGGUCCUGAAGAGGUAGACUACCAAGACACUAUUCUGGGGUACGCCAACUCAUCAAACCUGACAAUAAUAAUAAGACUUUUAUUAGGAAAAAUCAUGACUUUUUGUUGUUGUGACCAAAUGGUAUCUUGCUACUGUGUCUGAUCGUAUUUGUUAGUUACAGAAUUGCACUAUUCUGAAGUUUUCUAUAACAAAACCUCUCUUUAUUUAUACAUAAGGGAUUCAUAUUUUUUAGUCAGUUCAAUAAAGGUAUAUUGGGGGGGGGGGGCAGGUAGCCUAGUGGUUAGAGCAUUGGGCCAGUAACCGAAAGGUUGCUAGAUCGAAUCCCUAAGCU
Oncorhynchus tshawytscha (Chinook salmon) is the source of this 1274-nucleotide RNA transcript. It is a transcript of the gene named E3 SUMO-protein ligase NSE2-like, with no coding region annotated. The transcript has 7 exons. NCBI's taxonomy places the organism in Eukaryota, Metazoa, Chordata, Actinopteri, Salmoniformes, Salmonidae. The record is from RefSeq and is a predicted model, not a curated record.